This 253-nucleotide ribosomal RNA is filed under the name uncultured bacterium. RNAcentral's name for it is "partial 16S ribosomal RNA". It matches the Rfam family "Bacterial small subunit ribosomal RNA", at positions 524 to 776 of the family's 1533-position model. The record is from RNAcentral.
UACGGAGGAGGCUAGCGUUGUUCGGAAUUACUGGGCGUAAAGCGCGCGCAGGCGGCUUUGCAAGUCAGGGGUGAAAGCCCGGGGCUCAACCUCGGAACUGCCUUUGAGACUGCAAGGCUCGAGACCGGGAGAGGAGAGUGGAAUUCCCAGUGUAGAGGUGAAAUUCGUAGAUAUUAGGAAGAACACCAGUGGCGAAGGCGGCUCACUGGUCCGGUACUGACGCUGAGGUGCGAAAGCGUGGGGAGCAAACAGG